UCUGGGCGGGAAACCUCGGGAACUGAGAAUAAUACCCGAUAGAACAUUAUGCCUGGAAUGGUUUAUGUUUCAAAUGAUUUAUCGCCAUAGGAUGGGACUGCGGCCUAUCAGUUUGUUGGUGAGGUAAUGGCCCACCAAGACUAUUACAGGUACGGGCUCUGAGAGGAGUGGCCCGGAGAUGGGUACUGAGACACGGACCCAGGCCCUAUGGGGCGCAGCAGGCGAGAAAACUUUGCAAUGUGCGAAAGCACGACAAGGUUAAUCCGAGUGGUUUCUGCUAAAGAAACCUUUUGUCAGUCCUAGAAACACUGAUGAAUAAGGGGUGGGCAAGUUCUGGUGUCAGCCGCCGCGGUAAAACCAGCACCUCAAGUGGUCAGGAUGAUUAUUGGGCCUAAAGCAUCCGUAGCUCGUUUUGUAAGUUUUCGGUUAAAUCCAUGCGCUUAACGUAUGGGCUGCCGGGAAUACUGCAUAACUAGGAAGUGGGAGAGGUAGACGGUACUCGGUAGGAAGGGGUAAAAUCCUUUGAUCUAUUGAUGACCACCUGUGGCGAAGGCGGUCUACCAGAACACGUUCGACGGUGAGGGAUGAAAGCUGGGGGAGCAAACCGGAUUAGAUACCCGGGUAGUCCCAGCUGUAAACUAUGCAAACUCAGUGAUGCAUUGGCUUGUGGCCAAUGCAGUGCUGCAGGGAAGCCGUUAAGUUUGCCGCCUGGGAAGUACGUACGCAAGUAUGAAACUUAAAGGAAUUGGCGGGGGAGCAC
RNAcentral lists this ribosomal RNA (760 nucleotides) under uncultured archaeon. RNAcentral describes it as "bacterial SSU rRNA". It matches the Rfam family "Archaeal small subunit ribosomal RNA", at positions 115 to 879 of the family's 1478-position model. The record is from RNAcentral.